RNAcentral lists this ribosomal RNA (485 nucleotides) under uncultured bacterium. RNAcentral describes it as "bacterial SSU rRNA". It matches the Rfam family "Bacterial small subunit ribosomal RNA", at positions 30 to 507 of the family's 1533-position model. The record is from RNAcentral.
AUUGAACGCUGGCGGCAUGCCUUACACAUGCAAGUCGAACGGGAUUCUUUGAUCAGCUUGCUGAGAGAAGGAUCUAGUGGCGGACGGGUGAGUAACGCGUGGGAAUCUGCCUCUUACUGGGGGAUAACAGUGGGAAACUACUGCUAAUACCGCAUAAGAUCUUCGGAUGAAAGGUGCAACUGCACCGGUAAGAGAUGAGCCCGCGUCCCAUUAGCUAGUUGGUGAGGUAAAGGCUCACCAAGGCGACGAUGGGUAGCCGGCCUGAGAGGGUGAACGGCCACACUGGGACUGAGACACGGCCCAGACUCCUACGGGAGGCAGCAGUAGGGAAUCUUCCGCAAUGGGCGCAAGCCUGACGGAGCGACGCCGCGUGAGUGAUGAAGGCCUUGGGUCGUAAAGCUCUGUUCUUGAGGACGAAUAAGCCAGGGAGUGGAAAGGCCCUGGUGAUGACUGUACUCAAGGAGAAAGCUCCGGCUAACUACGUG